Molecule: long non-coding RNA, 1703 nt
Organism: Sapajus apella (tufted capuchin)
Lineage: Eukaryota; Metazoa; Chordata; Mammalia; Primates; Cebidae
Exons: 3
Source: RefSeq, a predicted model, not a curated record
UUGAUUUAGAAAAAAUUUUUAUACUAAUAGAAAAUCCUGUAAAAUGUAGAAGAAUGUUUUUACUAAAAUGGAAACCAAAUUGCUGAGGAUAGAAUUCACCUGAAAAGGCUUUCUUAGUUCAAGUUAUAAAUAAGCAUGUGUUCUGUGGUUAUAAAAAGUAAUACUGUAUUUUAUAUACUCUAAGAUGCCAUCAAUUGUAAGAUAAAAUGUCAUUUUAUGUAGCACUACAAAAGAUUACUGCUGCUGAUUAAACUAUAACUCAUUUGAACUGAGAGAUGUCAAAAUUUGAAAAAAAUGUGUAUCUUGAAAUUGAUGCAAUAUGAUAGUACAUUCCAGUUCAUGCAAGUAUUUGAACAAAAAAUAUAGACUGUUAGUAAUCAGUAGUUGGAUAAGUUUAUAACCAUAAAAAAAGCAAUUUCUCAUGUCUUCUCAACUGUUCAUUACAUGUGAGCAUUUUAUAAUUGCUUAAGAAGAUAAAAGCACAUUUAAAAAGAAAGCAUUUUCAUUGAAUUGUAUGUGUGUGUGUGUAAAACAGAUCGAUGAAAAUCUAAAAUUAUUUCAAUCCAUUUGAGGCCUUGUCCAUGACGAUUUCAGCCUAUACUCAACCUUAACAGGCUAAGUCACAUGGGUGUAUUUGUGAUAUAGUUUCCAAUGAAUGGCUUCUAUCACAAAGAAUGUCAAACUUUUUUUGAUAAUGUUGCACAUGCAUGUCAAACCAUCUAUAGACACUUUUGGCAAUCAAAACCAAAGAAUUCUGCUAGCUCUAAGAACAAGAAUGAUCUCUAUAAAAUGUAAACAGUCUAGAGAUGAACAUAUUCUGUUCAAAUAUCUAGCUUCAAUCAUUUUCUCAAAUAUUUGAAACACAUUAAUUCCUCAACAGUAGUUCCUGUUUAGUAUGUAUUACCUUAGCUUAAUUCUCCUAUGCAUCUUAAAACUCUUAAAAUUAGACUGGUUUAUAGUUUGAAAAUGGAGAAGGUAUAGAGACUCCUUAAGAUUCCUGUCUCCUUUUCUGCCAAGACCACUUUGAUUCUCACUUAGAGGCAGGAAUGAGAAGCUGUAGCUAUACAUCUGUAUGCAAAAUGGCAAGCAUGUCAUCUUCUAAUACAGAAAUUCAUUCUAUGGAGGGCUGACUCCAAUGAGUUGAUUAUCUAAAAAAUCAGGUUCUACUUCUGUGACAACAUGAACAAGCUCAAGUGGUGUUUUUAUCGUGUACCAAAAUUUGGUGAUGUCUUAUCCAUACAUAAAGGUAUGGAAAACUUUCGAUAUUUCAAGGAGUCAAAGGACAUGGGGUUAUUUUGUUCUGGGCAGAACAAAUUAUUUGAUCCCACACAAUUCUGGACUACUUGAGAAGGAACUCUCUUGCUCUUCUCGUGUAUUUCUCUAUACCACUUUGCAGGGUACUUAGUAUUAGCAUACAGCAAACACUUUACAGUCUUACGGAUGGUUAAUAAACAGAUAACAUUUUAAUUGUCAGUUAAUAAUUUUUUCAUUCUCAUGAAGGAAAUCAAAACAUGCACUUUUAAUUAUCUUACCAAUUUAGUGGUUCUUUUAUCCAGUUACUCUGUUGAGUGGCAAAUGCAAUGUUUUCUCACAAUGCUGAGAAAUUUUUCUAGACAUCAGAUUCACGCAAAAAUAGAAAUGUGGCCUAUUUCAGACUAUGGAUACAUGUCAAAUAUGUUUAUUCAUAUUCAUAUUUAAAUAUG